Molecule: ribosomal RNA, 445 nt
Filed under: uncultured bacterium
Lineage: Bacteria
Description: bacterial SSU rRNA
Rfam family: Bacterial small subunit ribosomal RNA
Source: RNAcentral
ACUCCUACGGGAGGCAGCAGUAGGGAAUCUUCCACAAUGGACGAAAGUCUGAUGGAGCAACGCCGCGUGAACGAUGAAGGCCUCGGUCGUAAGUUACUGUUGUAAGGGAAGAACAAGUGCCGCAGGCAAUGGCGGCACCUUGACGGUACCUUGCGAGAAAGCCACGGCUAACUACGUGCCAGCAGCCGCGGUAAUACGUAGGUGGCAAGCGUUGUCCGGAAUUAUUGGGCGUAAAGCGCGCGCAGGCGGCCUCUUAAGUCUGAUGUGAAAGCCCCGGCUCAACCGGGGGAGGGCCAUUGGAAACUGGGAGGCUUGAGUAUAGGAGAGAAGAGUGGAAUUCCACGUGUAGCGGUGAAAUGCGUAGAGAUGUGGAGGAACACCAGUGGCGAAGGCGACUCUUUGGCCUAUAACUGACGCUGAGGCGCGAAAGCGUGGGGAGCAAACA